RNAcentral lists this ribosomal RNA (465 nucleotides) under Vreelandella stevensii. RNAcentral describes it as "partial 16S ribosomal RNA". It matches the Rfam family "Bacterial small subunit ribosomal RNA", at positions 338 to 795 of the family's 1533-position model. Lineage: Bacteria; Pseudomonadati; Pseudomonadota; Gammaproteobacteria; Oceanospirillales; Halomonadaceae. The record is from RNAcentral.
CCUACGGGCGGCAGCAGUGGGGAAUAUUGGACAAUGGGGGCAACCCUGAUCCAGCCAUGCCGCGUGUGUGAAGAAGGCCCUCGGGUUGUAAAGCACUUUCAGUGAGGAAGAACGCCUGGUGGUUAAUACCCAUCAGGAAAGACAUCACUCACAGAAGAAGCACCGGCUAACUCCGUGCCAGCAGCCGCGGUAAUACGGAGGGUGCGAGCGUUAAUCGGAAUUACUGGGCGUAAAGCGCGCGUAGGUGGCUUGAUAAGCCGGUUGUGAAAGCCCCGGGCUCAACCUGGGAACGGCAUCCGGAACUGUCAAGCUAGAGUGCAGGAGAGGAAGGUAGAAUUCCCGGUGUAGCGGUGAAAUGCGUAGAGAUCGGGAGGAAUACCAGUGGUGAAGGCGGCCUUCUGGACUGACACUGACACUGAGGUGCGAAAGCGUGGGUAGCAAACAGGAUUAGAUACCCUGGUAGUC